UACGAAGGGGGCUAGCGUUGCUCGGAAUUACUGGGCGUAAAGCGCACGUAGGCGGUCUUUUAAGUCGGGGGUGAAAUCCUGGAGCUCAACUCCAGAACUGCCUUCGAUACUGGAAGACUUGAGUCCGGGAGAGGUGAGUGGAACUGCGAGUGUAGAGGUGAAAUUCGUAGAUAUUCGCAAGAACACCAGUGGCGAAGGCGGCUCACUGGCCCGAUACUGACGCUGAUGCACGAAAGCGUGGGGAGCAAACAGG
This 253-nucleotide ribosomal RNA is filed under the name uncultured bacterium. Its description in RNAcentral is "partial 16S ribosomal RNA". It matches the Rfam family "Bacterial small subunit ribosomal RNA", at positions 524 to 776 of the family's 1533-position model. The record is from RNAcentral.